GCCGCUUCGGUCGGUGGUUCGGACUGCUGCGUUUGCCGGGCGAAGGCGGGCGGGGUGAGCUCGGUCCACGCGUUCGCGUCGCGUGUGCGGCACCA
Molecule: transfer RNA, 95 nt
Filed under: Pandoraea bronchicola
Lineage: Bacteria; Pseudomonadati; Pseudomonadota; Betaproteobacteria; Burkholderiales; Burkholderiaceae
Description: Pandoraea sp. LMG 20603 tRNA-Gly
Source: RNAcentral